CAAUGGGGGGAACCCUGACCGAGCAACGCCGCGUGAGUGAAGAAGGUUUUCGGAUCGUAAAGCUCUGUUGUUAAGGAAGAACGAGUGUGAGAAUGGAAAGUUCAUACUGUGACGGUACUUAACCAGAAAGGGACGGCUAACUACGUGCCAGCAGCCGCGGUAAUACGUAGGUCCCGAGCGUUGUCCGGAUUUAUUGGGCGUAAAGCGAGCGCAGGCGGUUAGAUAAGUCUGAAGUUAAAGGCAGUGGCUCAACCAUUGUAGGCUUUGGAAACUGUUUAACUUGAGUGCAGAAGGGGAGAGUGGAAUUCCAUGUGUAGCGGUGAAAUGCGUAGAUAUAUGGAGGAACACCGGUGGCGAAAGCGGCUCUCUGGUCUGUAACUGACGCUGAGGCUCGAAAGCGUGGGGAGCGAACAGGAUUAGAUACCCUGGUAGUCCACGCCGUAAACGAUGAGUGCUAGGUGUUAGGUCCUUUCCGGGACUUAGUGCCGCAGCUAACGCAUUAAGCACUCCGCCUGGGGAGUACGACCGCAAGGUGAAACUCAAAGGAAUUGACGGC
RNAcentral lists this ribosomal RNA (556 nucleotides) under uncultured bacterium. RNAcentral describes it as "bacterial SSU rRNA". It matches the Rfam family "Bacterial small subunit ribosomal RNA", at positions 369 to 917 of the family's 1533-position model. The record is from RNAcentral.